This 465-nucleotide ribosomal RNA is filed under the name uncultured bacterium. RNAcentral describes it as "partial 16S ribosomal RNA". It matches the Rfam family "Bacterial small subunit ribosomal RNA", at positions 28 to 507 of the family's 1533-position model. The record is from RNAcentral.
GACGAACGCUGGCGGCGUGCUUAACACAUGCAAGUCGUACGGUAAGGCCCUUUCGGGGGUCCACGAGUGGCGGACGGGUGAGUAACACGUGAGUAAACUGCCUACUACUUUUUUAUAACGCUAGGAAACUGGUGCUACUACUGGAUAUGUGCUCCUGCUGCAUGGUGGGGGGUGGUAAGCUCCUGCGGCUGUGGGUGGACUCGCGGCCGAUCAGCGGGUUGGUGGGGUAGUGGCCUACCAACGCGGCGACGGGUAGCCCGCCUGUGAGGGUGACCGGCCACAUUGGGACUGAGGUAAGGCCCAGACGCCUACUGGAGGCAACAGGGGGGAAGAUUGCACAAUGGGCGCAAGCCUGAUGCAGCAACGCCGCGUGCGGGAUGACGGCCUUCGGGUUGUAAACCGCUUUCAGCAGGGACGAAGCUUUUUGUGACGGUACCUGCAGAAGAAGCACCGGCUAACUACGUG